This 493-nucleotide ribosomal RNA is filed under the name uncultured bacterium. RNAcentral's name for it is "bacterial SSU rRNA". It matches the Rfam family "Bacterial small subunit ribosomal RNA", at positions 62 to 543 of the family's 1533-position model. The record is from RNAcentral.
UCGAGCGAGACCAGUCCUUCGGGACUGGGGAAAGCGGCGAACGGGUGAGUAACACGUGGGUAAUCUGCCCUCGGCACUGGGAUAGCCCGGGGAAACCCGGAUUAAUACCGGAUAGCCUUUCGAGCCUUCGGGCUCGUCAGAAAAGGUGGCUUCGGCUUCCGGCUGAGGAUGAGCCCGCGGCGGAUUAGCUUGUUGGUGAGGUAAUGGCUCACCAAGGCUCCGAUCUGUAGCUGGUCUGAGAGGACGAUCAGCCACACUGGGACUGAGACACGGCCCAGACUCCUACGGGAGGCAGCAGUAGGGAAUCUUGCGCAAUGGGCGAAAGCCUGACGCAGCGACGCCGCGUGCGGGAAGAAGGCCUUCGGGUUGUAAACCGCUUUCAGGAGGGACGAAGCCACUCGGGUUAAUAGCCCAGAGGGUGACGGUACCUCCAGAAGAAGCCCCGGCUAACUACGUGCCAGCAGCCGCGGUAAUACGUAGGGGGCAAGCGUUG